RNAcentral lists this ribosomal RNA (497 nucleotides) under uncultured bacterium. RNAcentral describes it as "partial 16S ribosomal RNA". It matches the Rfam family "Bacterial small subunit ribosomal RNA", at positions 28 to 507 of the family's 1533-position model. The record is from RNAcentral.
GAUGAACGCUGGCGGCGUGCCUAAUACAUGCAAGUCGAGCGAACAGAUGAGGAGCUUGCUCCUCUGACGUUAGCGGCGGACGGGUGAGUAACACGUGGAUAACCUACCUAUAAGACUGGGAUAACUUCGGGAAACCGGAGCUAAGACCGGAUAAUAUAUUGAACCGCAUUGUUCAAUAGUGAAAGACGGUUUUGCUGUCACUUAUAGAUGGAUCCGCGCCGCAUUAGCUAGUUGGUAAGGUAACGGCUUACCAAGGCAACGAUGCGUAGCCGACCUGAAAGGGUGAUCGGACACACUGGAAGUGAGACACGGCCCAGACUCCUAGGGGAGGCAGCAGUAGGGAAUCUUACGCGAUGGGGGAAAGCCUGACGGAGCAACGCCGGCUGAGGGAUGAAGGUCUUCGGAUCGUAAAACUCUGUUAUUCGGGAAGAACAAAUGUGCAAGUAACUAUGCACGUAUUGACGGUACCUAAUCAGAAAGCCCCGGCUAACUACGUG